This is a long non-coding RNA of Cryptotermes secundus, 1492 nucleotides long. RefSeq lists it as uncharacterized. The record is from RefSeq and is a predicted model, not a curated record. The transcript is spliced from 3 exons. NCBI's taxonomy places the organism in Eukaryota, Metazoa, Arthropoda, Insecta, Blattodea, Kalotermitidae.
UGAACCCAAAGCCUUGGACCUGGACGGAUUCUCUUGAUAAACAACCUUGGCUAAAGAAAAUGGAUAUGAUAUUCUUCUGUUGCUGCUCUAGUAGAUUUCCUUUGAAGCGCACUCUGGCAUUUCCUAUUCUUUCCCACUCUCACCUGUUUACACUCCUGGUCAAACCAGCCAUUCCUAAAGUCCCUUUUAGCUUUCCCAAUACUUUCCUCUGCUGCAAUUUUAAGAACUGUUUCCAAGUUGUUCCACUAUUUUUCAAUUGUCACUCCUUCCCUUACCUCCUGACAGAAAUCCUUAAUGAUUUACUCAUAUUCUUUCCUGGCUUGUGCCUCUUUUGGAUUGCUUAUAUUGUAUCUUAUUGUAUCUCUCUAUUCAGAACAUAUUUUGACAUACUGAUGGUUUUGACAUUAUUCUGGUAAUAAUAGCGGCAAAAAUUGGUAGGUCAAAAUGUGUUCUGAAUAAAGUGACCUUCUGAUUUUCUCCCUUAGCAGUUGAGUAGCUGUGCUGGAGUGAUCAGCCCAGCCCAGCCUUUCAUGAAGAUUCUCAGUCAGUAAAUCACACUAUGUUGUUCUCAACAGUGUCAAGUUUCAUUUAUAAUGGCAGGAUGAACUUUUACAGGAUAGAAAGGAGCUUCAUUUCUAUCUAGUUUGGUGUUUUCAUUUUCAGUAAGGGAGUGUGACCAGCAAAGAGCUAAGUGGCUGCCUAAGUCUUUUUUUGAACACGGGUUAAUGAGCCUAUGUUUUGUGAUCCUUGACAACGUCAGAAGCUGGGGAUGGACAUCCCAGGGCCACCCCCGUCAAUGUGCGUAUUCUAGCAAGUCCCAGCAAGCAUGGAACUGUACCUUCUGGCAGUUCAGGAAUGAUUGGCAAGCUUGGGGCACCUCGCCAUGAACACAGACAUCUGUGCCCUAUGUUCCCUGACACAGUGCAAGUCACACAGGCUCUCACAAGGUAACCUCAGCCAUCUGCAAAAGUUUUGUUGAAUGGAAGCGCAAUACUUCUCAAAUUGCUGAGAAGAAAUUCAUCUGGAGGAUUGCACUGACAAUGAAUGGACUGAAAAUGAAGAUUUGGCAAGAAAGAGUUGGAACUCGACACAAAGCAGUCUGCAGUGAGCCCCGUGCAAGAAGAAAGGAGAAGGUCAAUCUGUGAGCUCGGCACUAGAGAAGAGGAGAUAUUCAUCCAUUUUUUCAUUAGUGAAUGUUGUCUUUGCAACUGGGUAAGGAGUAUGGUUUGCUGACCAGACAGUGGUGAGGAUUAAGAGGAACAUCCCGCUCUCCUCCUCCAAGGUCGAAGAGUAAGGUGAGCAAGCAGGAAGGAGAGUAGAGCUUAGUCUGCUUGCUUCCAUGCCUUCCUCUUCAGCCCUGAAAAUGAUGGCACCAUCUCUGUACCUUUGAUAAACUUCUACAAGACUACGUGGCAUCACAUUCCAGAAAGCAAUAUAUAUAUAAAUGGGGGGUAGGGGGUUCCGGCAAAGGUGAGUAAAUGAAAGAGAACCA